AACAAGGCGUACCUGCGGACCUGCGGAGGGAUCAUUACCAGAGUGCCUUCAGGCUCUCCAACCCACUGUGAACAUACCUACGUUCCCCCGGCGGGCCCAGCGCGCGGCGGCUCCGGCCGCCCGCGUCCGCCGAGGGCAUCUCAAACCCGAAUUUAUUCGUGUCUUCUGAGGGGCGAAAGCCCGUAAAACAAAAUGAAUCAAAACUUUCAACAACGGAUCU
Molecule: unclassified non-coding RNA, 220 nt
Filed under: soil metagenome
Description: partial contains 5.8S ribosomal RNA, internal transcribed spacer 2, and large subunit ribosomal RNA
Source: RNAcentral